RNAcentral lists this ribosomal RNA (496 nucleotides) under uncultured bacterium. RNAcentral's name for it is "partial 16S ribosomal RNA". It matches the Rfam family "Bacterial small subunit ribosomal RNA", at positions 29 to 507 of the family's 1533-position model. The record is from RNAcentral.
AUGCACGCUGGCGGCGUGCCUAAUACAUGCCAGUCGCGCGAACAGACGAGGAGCUUGCUCCUCUGACGUUAGCGGCGGACGGGUGAGUAACACGUGGAUAACCUACCUAUAAGACUGGGAUAACUUCGGGAAACCGGAGCUAAUACCGGAUAAUAUAUUGAACCGCAUGGUUCAAUAGUGAAAGACGGUUUUGCUGUCACUUAUAGAUGGAUCCGCGCCGCAUUAGCUAGUUGGUAAGGUAACGGCUUACCAAGGCAACGAUGCGUAGCCGACCUGAGAGGGUGAUCGGCCACACUGGAACUGAGACACGGUCCAGACUCCUACGGGAGGCAGCAGUAGGGAAUCUUCCGCAAUGGGCGAAAGCUUGACGGAGCAACGCCGCGUGAGUGAUGAAGGUCUUCGGAUCGUAAAACUCUGUUAUUAGGGAAGAACAAAUGUGUAAGUAACUAUGCACGUCUUGACGGUACCUAAUCAGAAAGCCACGGCUAACUACGUG